AGUACUGAAAAUACUUAGAUGGGUCACGCACCCCAUGGACA
This 41-nucleotide transfer RNA is filed under the name Miopithecus ogouensis (Gabon talapoin). RNAcentral's name for it is "partial tRNA-Phe". The record is from RNAcentral. Lineage: Eukaryota; Metazoa; Chordata; Mammalia; Primates; Cercopithecidae.